This 479-nucleotide ribosomal RNA is filed under the name uncultured bacterium. Its description in RNAcentral is "bacterial SSU rRNA". It matches the Rfam family "Bacterial small subunit ribosomal RNA", at positions 17 to 518 of the family's 1533-position model. The record is from RNAcentral.
UUAUGGCUCAGGAUGAACGCUGGCGGCGUGCCUAAUACAUGCAAGUCGAACGGUUUCGAGCGAUCGAGAUAGUGGCGAACGGGUGAGUAACGCGUUGGUAACCUGCCCCGGAGAGAGGGAUAACAGGCCGAAAGGCUUGCUAAUACCGCAUGAGCAGUAGAGGAAUAGCAGCUUUACUGUAAAGGAGUAAUCCGCUCUGGGAGGGGCCUGCGACCCAUCAGCUAGUUGGUAAGGUAACGGCCUACCAAGGCGAUGACGGGUAGGGGACCUGAGAGGGUGGCCCCCCACAAUGGAACUGAAACACGGUCCAUACACCUACGGGUGGCAGCAGUAGGGAAUAUUGCAUAAUGGGCGAAAGCCUGAUGCCAGCAACGCCGCGUGUGCGAUGAAGGCCUUCGGGUUGUAAAGCACUUUUGGCUGGGAAGAGGAAGGACGGUACCAGUCGAAGAAGCCUCGGCUAACUACGUGCCAGCCGCUGC